RNAcentral lists this ribosomal RNA (216 nucleotides) under uncultured bacterium. RNAcentral describes it as "partial 16S ribosomal RNA". It matches the Rfam family "Bacterial small subunit ribosomal RNA", at positions 72 to 305 of the family's 1533-position model. The record is from RNAcentral.
ACGCUCCUUCGGGAGUUAUUAAAGUGGCGCACGGGUGAGUAACGCGUGGGAACCUGCCUUUCUCUGCGGGAUAACGGUUGGAAACGACCGCUAAUACCGCAUACGCCCUACGGGGGAAAGGUCCGCCGGAGAAAGAGGGGCCCGCGUCUGAUUAGCUUGUUGGUAGGGUAAUGGCCUACCAAGGCGACGAUCAGUAGCUGGUCUGAGAGGAUGAUC